AAAAGUUAGCUUUGUUGCUUUACUUCAAGGGGCCAUUGUCUCUGCGAGUUGCUUUACUUUGCAUAGGUACAUUCCUAUAAGCUCAGUUGAGAAGUUAGCUGUGUUCGAUUGAAGCUAAGGGCAGAAAGAGAUAAAAGACAGUAGGCAUGGCGGCCGCCGCCACCACUAGAGUACUCUAACUGCUUCGUGACCGCCGCCGUCACCAUUCCUCUUCUCAUUCACAGGUAUGUAUGUGUGUGUGCAUAAUAUUCCUUUUUAAUCACAGCAUUGAGUUGACUGAUAAUUUCUAUACAAAAAAUUAGGCUUGAUAGUCUUUACAUUAGAUCGGGACAGUAACCUAAAUGUAAAGUAUUUUCAAGUGCUUUGUAUGAAUUUAACUUAAUCAAUCAAUUAUAUUCACUGUGAAUCUUAUCUUUUUUUAUUUGUAUUUUUAAAAUAUUUUUUAUUUGCAUUUUAAAAAAAUUCUUAACUGGGACUCGUGGCUCUAUUGAACCAUCUUCCACCAUUAAGGUUGUCUUAUAGAAAUUUAAUUUAACUAUUAUAUAUAAUGGUAAAGAAAACUAAAUUACUCUCUGAUUUUUUUUUUUUUGACUUUCAGAAAAGUUAUGAUUCUAUACAAAAUUUAAUACGGAGUUUGUUAAUUUCCCCUAUAUUGUAAUCAAUAUAUACCAUUUGCAUCCUACUGUUUUUAUAAUAACCAAUAAAUCUCCCGAUACUAUAAGCUUAUAAAAUUAUCCUUAUUUUUAAAUACACUCUUAUUAAUAUUUAUUAUAGAUUAAAUAAAUCACAUGAAUGAAAAUUAAAAAAAAAAGUAUUAAAAGAAGAAAUAUAUGUUUUGAUGUGAAAAAAAUUAAUAAUAAAAUAUUUUUCUCGUACUUUUUUUAUUUUAUAAACAUUUUCUUAUAAUAAAGAUAUAAAAAUUAUUAUAAAAUAAAUAAUAAAAUAUUUUUCUUGUACUUUUUGUAUUUUAAUUUUAAAAUAUUAUAAAAUAUUUAUUAGAAGAAAAUGUUUACAAAAUAAAAAAGUACAAGAAAAAAUUUUAUUAUUAAUUUUUUUGUUCUCAUCAAAACAUAUAUUUCCUUUUUUUAAUUUUUUUUAUUCAGUUUCAAUUCAUACAAUUUAUUUAAUUUAUAAUAAAUAUAAAUAAAAGUAUAUUCGAAAAUAGGGAUAGUAUUUUAAACUAAUGAUGUUGGGGGGUUAUUGGCUAUUAUAAAAAUAGCAAGGGAGUAAAUGAUAUAUCUUAACUACUGUUGGGGAAAAUUUGACAAUCUCAAUUCAAUAUUUCUGACUUCUUGAUUUUGCUUUAAAUCAAAAAUUGAUUAUGUCUAUUCUUUUGCUUCUGUUACAGAACGGCAUACACCAAGAAAUUAAGUUUAAUUCUUGACUCCAAUAUGGAAGAAACCAGCAGAUCAUCAAACCGAGAAGAUCAAACCAACGUCUUCAGGUUAAAAAACAAAUAGUCUAUGUAUUUGAUAUUCGAUAUUCAGAAUUGAAUUUUUGCUACUUGGAUAGUAUAAAAUUUCAAUUGGUGUAGUUCUUGGUUCAUUAUUCAUAAUGAAAAUUAAAGCUUAAAGUCUCGAAUAUUUUUGUGGAGGGUUGGUUUGCUUUACGGAUUGCAUGUGAGGGAACUAGACGUAUGUAUAUAUGCUGAAGUUGAUGAAGUUUAAUUUUAGAAGGGCUAUGUUUGAUAAUUAUCAAUGGGAAAUUGUCUGGAAAGCAGAGGAAAUUCUGUAGGAUGUUCAAUAUAUAACUAAAAAUAAGUUGUUGGAUUUGCCUUAUGUAAUCAAAAAUUUAGUUGCAAACCUUAAAUUGGAUUCACUUUUUCUUUAUUCUUCUAAUACGGAGUCCUUACCUAACUGCUAAACUUAUGAGUAUAAUGUCUUAUCAAGAAUGGUCCGCAGAAACAAAAACGAAGACCAAAUCACUGUGAUGGAGCCAAACAUAAGUAAACAAAC
This 1955-nucleotide long non-coding RNA is filed under the name Citrus maxima (pomelo). Its description in RNAcentral is "long non-coding RNA (CMAX_LNC001164)". Lineage: Eukaryota; Viridiplantae; Streptophyta; Magnoliopsida; Sapindales; Rutaceae. The record is from RNAcentral.